RNAcentral lists this ribosomal RNA (374 nucleotides) under uncultured bacterium. Its description in RNAcentral is "bacterial SSU rRNA". It matches the Rfam family "Bacterial small subunit ribosomal RNA", at positions 28 to 403 of the family's 1533-position model. The record is from RNAcentral.
GACGAACGCUGGCGGCGUGCUUAACACAUGCAAGUCGAGCGGUAAGGCCCUUUCGGGGGUACACGAGCGGCGAACGGGUGAGUAACACGUGGGUGACCUGCCCACAGCUCUGGGAUAAGCCUGGGAAACUGGGUCUAAUACUGGAUAUGACUCCACGGUGCAUGUCGUGGGGUGGAAAGCCUUGUGCGGCUGAGGAUGGGCCCGCGGCCUAUCAGCUUGUUGGUGGGGUGANGGCCUACCAAGGCGACGACGGGUAGCCGGCCUGAGAGGGCGACCGGCCACACUGGGACUGAGACACGGCCCAGACCCCUACGGGAGGCAGCAGUGGGGAAUCUUGCGCAAUGGGCGAAGGCCUGACGCAGCGACGCCGCGUG